Molecule: ribosomal RNA, 490 nt
Filed under: uncultured bacterium
Lineage: Bacteria
Description: partial 16S ribosomal RNA
Rfam family: Bacterial small subunit ribosomal RNA
Source: RNAcentral
AUUGAACGCUGGCGGCAGGCCUAACACAUGCAAGUCGAACGGUAACAGGAAGCAGCUUGCUGCUUCGCUGACGAGUGGCGGACGGGUGAGUAAUGCCUGGGAAGCUGCCUGAUGGAGGGGGAUAACUACUGGAAACGGUAGCUAAUACCGCAUAAUGUCGCAAGACCAAAGAGGGGGACCUUCGGGCCUCUUGCCAUCGGAUGUGCCCAGAUGGGAUUAGCUUGUUGGUGGGGUAACGGCUCACCAAGGCGACGAUCCCUAGCUGGUCUGAGAGGAUGACCAGCCACACUGGGACUGAGACACGGUCCAGACUCCUACGGGAGGCAGCAGUGGGGAAUAUUGCACAAUGGGCGCAAGCCUGAUGCAGCCAUGCCGCGUGUAUGAAGAAGGCCUUCGGGUUGUAAAGUACUUUCAGCGGGGAGGAAGGGAGUAAAGUUAAUACCUUUGCUCAUUGACGUUACCCGCAGAAGAAGCACCGGCUAACUCCGUG